UGCCUACAGCAGAGUGACAAUUUAAGAGAAGAAGACUGUAUAAUCAGAUGUAUACUGCACUGAGAAAGCAGAAUUCCAACAACAGGAAUUUAGAAGAGAAAUUGGGGCGGGGGAAAGAAAGGUUAAGGCAGAAUUCCAUUUGUACAUAUUAGAAUGACGCCAACUAUUAAGCCAAAGUAGAAGAAACACCUUAAACAGGAUGGAUUUGUUGAUAUCACAAAUAAAAAUGAAAUCUGAACCGCAAUUCUUGAUACAUUAUUAACAUAAUCCAUAUGAUUACUUCCACAACAAAGUCAGCAGCCUCUGGCUGAGAAGAUAUUGCCAAAGCUUGUCAUACCUAUGGCUAAGCUUAAUACUAAUUGGGUACAGAAAUCAAGGGACAAAUAUUAUCACCCUGGGAAAAUUCACAUUUUAUGAAAGGUAUAAAGAAUCCAAGCGACAAGACAAAGGUGACAACAGACAAAAAAAGAAAAUCAUGAAACCCCCAAGUUCGCAGCUUUCACAAGCCCAGAACAUAUUGCUAAAGCUGAUAAUACCUAUGGCUAAGCUUAAUACUAAUUGGACACAGAAAUCAAGGGACCCAUAUUAUCACCCAGGGGAAAUUUCACAUUUUAUGAAAGGUAUAAAGAAUCCAAGCGACAAGACAAAGGUGACAACAGACAAAAGAAAAAAACCAUGAAACCCCCAAGUUCCCAGCUUUCACAAGCCCAGAACAAAAGAAGAAAGGUGAGGAUUACUGAUUAAUCUAGCAGGCAUUGAAGAUAAUAUUUCCAUAAAGUAAAAA
RNAcentral lists this long non-coding RNA (784 nucleotides) under Nicotiana benthamiana. RNAcentral's name for it is "long non-coding RNA (NBEN_LNC006512)". Lineage: Eukaryota; Viridiplantae; Streptophyta; Magnoliopsida; Solanales; Solanaceae. The record is from RNAcentral.